This 252-nucleotide ribosomal RNA is filed under the name uncultured bacterium. RNAcentral's name for it is "partial 16S ribosomal RNA". It matches the Rfam family "Bacterial small subunit ribosomal RNA", at positions 524 to 776 of the family's 1533-position model. The record is from RNAcentral.
GACGUAGGGGGCCAGCGUUGCUCGGAAUUACUGGGCGUAAAGGGUCCGUAGGCGGUGCGGUAAGUCGGGAGUGAAAUCUCUGGGCUUAACUCAGAGGCUGCUUCCGAAACUACCGUGCUAGAGUGCGAGAGAGGCAAGUGGAAUUGCGGGUGUAGCGGUGAAAUGCGUAGAUAUCCGCAGGAACAUCCGAGGCGAAAGCGGCUUGCUGGAUCGCAACUGACGCUGAGGGACGAAAGCUAGGGAGCAAACAGG